UUCCAGACUCCUACGGGAGGCAGCAGUGGGGAAUAUUGCACAAUGGGGGAAACCCUGAUGCAGCGACGCCGCGUGAGUGAAGAAGUGUUUCGGCACGUAAAGCUCUGUCAGCAGGGAAGAAAAUGACGGUACCUGACCAAGAAGCCCCGGCUAACUACGUGCCAGCAGCCGCGGUAAUACGUAGGGGGCAAGCGUUAUCCGGAUUUAUUGGGUUUAAAGGGUGCGUAGGCGGGACCUUAAGUCAGCGGUAAAAUUGCGGUGCUCAACGCCGUAGAGCCGUUGAAACUGGGGUUCUUGAGUGAGCGAGAAGUAUGCGGAAUGCGUGGUGUAGCGGUGAAAUGCAUAGAUAUCACGCAGAACCCCGAUUGCGAAGGCAGCAUACCGGCGCUCAACUGACGCUGAGGCACGAAAGUGCGGGUAUCGAACAGGAUUAGAUACCCCAGUACAA
This 448-nucleotide ribosomal RNA is filed under the name uncultured bacterium. RNAcentral's name for it is "bacterial SSU rRNA". It matches the Rfam family "Bacterial small subunit ribosomal RNA", at positions 329 to 795 of the family's 1533-position model. The record is from RNAcentral.